This 468-nucleotide ribosomal RNA is filed under the name uncultured bacterium. RNAcentral describes it as "partial 16S ribosomal RNA". It matches the Rfam family "Bacterial small subunit ribosomal RNA", at positions 28 to 507 of the family's 1533-position model. The record is from RNAcentral.
GACGAACGCUGGCGGCGUGCUUAACACAUGCAAGUCGAACGGAAAGGCCCUGCUUUUGUGGGGUGCUCGAGUGGCGAACGGGUGAGUAACACGUGAGUAACCUGCCCUUGACUUUGGGAUAACUUCAGGAAACUGGGGCUAAUACCGGAUAUGAGCUCCUGCUGCAUGGUGGGGGUUGGAAAGUUUCGGCGGUUGGGGAUGGACUCGCGGCGUAUCAGCUUGUUGGUGGGGUAGUGGCUUACCAAGGCUUGGACGGGUAGCCGGCCUGAGAGGGUGACCGGCCACAUUGGGACUGAGAUACGGCCCAGACUCCUACGGGAGGCAGCAAUGGGGAAUAUUGCACAAUGGGCGGAAGCCGUAUGCAGCAACGCCGCGUGCGGGAUGACGGCCGUCGGGUUGUAAACCGCUUGCGCCUGUGACGAAGCGUGAGUGACGGUAAUGGGUAAAGAAGCACCGGCUAACUACGUG